Molecule: long non-coding RNA, 374 nt
Filed under: Equus asinus (donkey)
Lineage: Eukaryota; Metazoa; Chordata; Mammalia; Perissodactyla; Equidae
Description: lncRNA (ENSEASG00005033463.1)
Source: RNAcentral
GGCCGCUGUCAGAGCCGGCUCGGCCGGCUGCCAGUACCCUGGUGGAGGUGUGUUGAGUUCAUAGCGACCCUGUGAGCCACGUGUAAGAAGCAACCUGCUGUGAACUAGAAUUGUGAUGCUGGGAGUGAUCUGAUUCCUGCAGGCCCCUCUCCCUUCUCAGCUCUGCUACGUGGAGAGGCCAUACGAGAAGCCAUAUAAGAAGGAGAGGCCCUGAGAGAAAAGCCUAGCUAGAGGAAUUUAAGGCCAGACCCCUGCUGACCUACUAGCUGGGUGAAUCCACAUGAGUGACCAUUGGCAAGAUCAACAGAAGAGUCACCCAGCUAAGACCGGAUUGCAGAAUUGUAAGCAAAUAAAAUGUUUAUUGUUUUAAGCCA